AACGCACCUUGCGCUCCUUGGUAUUCCGAGGAGCAUGCCUGUUUGAGUGUCUUGAAGUCAUCAACUCUCACCGUUUUUGAAACUGGUGCGUGUUGGAAGUGGGGGCCUGCUGCCGAAUGGCUGCUCCCCUCAAAUGCAUCGGUUGGGCCUGUGGGUCGAACUCGACUGGGCGUUGUACAAACCUCGCUCUGACCGAGAUGUUCCCCUUUGACGUGCCCUGACCCCUGACCUGCCCAUUGGAGGUGGUGGUCAAGCUUUUGAAAUCUGACCUCAAAUCAGGUAGGACUACCCGCUGAACUUAA
Molecule: unclassified non-coding RNA, 302 nt
Filed under: uncultured fungus
Lineage: Eukaryota; Fungi
Description: sequence contains ITS2
Rfam family: 5.8S ribosomal RNA (bases 1-52)
Source: RNAcentral